Homo sapiens (human) is the source of this 782-nucleotide long non-coding RNA. Ensembl annotates it as SEMA6A antisense RNA 1. Its record names the gene SEMA6A-AS1. Lineage: Eukaryota; Metazoa; Chordata; Mammalia; Primates; Hominidae. The record is from Ensembl.
AGAAAUAAAGAUUCUGUGAUCCAACAAAUACCCUUGGUAAUAAAAGGCAGUCAAGGCAAUUCACCAUAAGGAAAGAGUGUACAAGACGGAAAAAUACAACAGAGAAAGAUAACAGGCCGACUCACGUGAAUAUAAAACGAGCGGGAAGGGCAGUUGGCUUAGAAAAUUCCCUUGCCAGCUACUGUGAGUGUGCAUGGGGGGAGGGGGUGGAAGGGGGUGGAAGGGCGUGGUAAGGGGUGGAGGAGUAGGGGCCUGUUUUGUAAAUUGCUGAAUAGGCAAGUUUCUUCAAACUUCAGUAGGCUGCCAGAAUCACCCUGCCCUUUAAUUUCAAGGCAGUUUUAUUGCAUUUGUUUAUUACUUGCUUGACUUUAUUGGUGGUGCUGUGGUCAGACUCAUUAUUGGAAUGGAAUUGCCUAUUACUUUGCUAUCAGGUUUGAGAUGACUCGAGGCUUUUCCUUGCCUGCCUCCCCUCAGAACUUAAGUUUGAGCUGAACAUAUGAAUUGUAAAUGAACAACUGAUUAAUAUGCAUUGGCAGCUCCUCAGAAAGCUCUCAGAUUGCCCCCUUUUGGCAUGGCCUGUUUAUGUUAAUUAGCAGUUUAGAGAUUAAAAAAGAAGAGGAAUUUACAAAGUGGAUAAUAAUAAAGCAGAAUUGAAAGGGGUUCUUGCCACCAACCCUCACUCAGUCCCCCGGGUUCUGGAUGGGACUUGGCUUGCGAUUGCUGACAGCAAUUGUCUAGAAGAACUGGGAAGCCUUUUAAACACAGAAUUCUGUGAAUGAAAU